UCGAGAAUCUUUCGCAAUGGGCGAAAGCCUGACGAAGCGACGCCGUGUGUGUGAUGAAGGCCCUCGGGUUGUAAAACACUUUCGCCUGGGAACAAGAGAAGCCGGCUAAUAUCCGGCGGAUUUGAGAGUAUCAGGUAAAGAAGUACCGGCUAACUACGUGCCAGCAGCUGCGGUAAUACGUAGGGUACAAGCAUUAAUCGGAUUUAUUGGGCGUAAAGGGCGCGUAGGCGGGAGUGCCAGUCAGAUGUGAAAUCCCGAGGCUCAACCUCGGAACAGCAUUUGAAACUACACUUCUAGAGGGUAGGCGGAGAAAACGGAAUUCCACAAGUAGCGGUGAAAUGCGUAGAUAUGUGGAAGAACACCGGUGGCGAAGGCGGUUUUCUAGCUUAUACCUGACGCUGAGGCGCGAAAGCAAGGGGAGCAAACAGGAUUAGAUACCCCCGUAGUCC
This 449-nucleotide ribosomal RNA is filed under the name uncultured bacterium. RNAcentral describes it as "bacterial SSU rRNA". It matches the Rfam family "Bacterial small subunit ribosomal RNA", at positions 355 to 796 of the family's 1533-position model. The record is from RNAcentral.